This 394-nucleotide ribosomal RNA is filed under the name uncultured bacterium. RNAcentral describes it as "partial 16S ribosomal RNA". It matches the Rfam family "Bacterial small subunit ribosomal RNA", at positions 523 to 918 of the family's 1533-position model. The record is from RNAcentral.
AUACGUAGGGGACGAGCGUUGUCCGGAAUUACUGGGCGUAAAGGGCGCGCAGGCGGAUAUUUAAGUCAGCUGUAAAAGGCAUGAGCUCAACUCAUGUAUGCGGUUGAAACUGGGUAUCUAGAGUGCUGGAGAGGUAGGCGGAAUUCCCGGUGUAGCGGUGAAAAGCGUAGAUAUCGGGAAGAACACCGGUGGCGAAGGCGGCUUACUGGCCAGCAACUGACGCUGAGGCGCGAAAGCCAGGGGAGCGAACGAGAUUAGAUACCCCGGUAGUCCUGGCCGUAAACGAUGAAUGCUAGGUGUGGGUGUCGAGAGGCAUCCGUGCCGGAGUUAACGCGAUAAGCAUUCCGCCUGGGGAGUACGAUCGCAAGAUUGAAACUCAAAUGAAUUGACGGGG